This 69-nucleotide transfer RNA is filed under the name Aeluroscalabotes felinus. Its description in RNAcentral is "tRNA-His". Lineage: Eukaryota; Metazoa; Chordata; Lepidosauria; Squamata; Eublepharidae. The record is from RNAcentral.
AUAAGCAUAAUUUAAUUAAAAUACUGAGCUGUGGUCUCAACAUUAGAGACUAGUACUCUCUUGCAUAUC